This 46-nucleotide non-coding RNA is filed under the name Schistosoma margrebowiei. Lineage: Eukaryota; Metazoa; Platyhelminthes; Trematoda; Strigeidida; Schistosomatidae. The record is from RNAcentral.
AUCUGGCUGAUGAAUCCAAAUAUAGGACGAAACUCGUGUCCUGAAU